Molecule: RNA transcript, 1521 nt
Organism: Planococcus citri (citrus mealybug)
Lineage: Eukaryota; Metazoa; Arthropoda; Insecta; Hemiptera; Pseudococcidae
Exons: 4
Source: RefSeq, a predicted model, not a curated record
CAACGUUAGCAACGUUCGUACUAUCUGAUAAUCUUGUGUAACUUUACGUCUUUUCGUCAUUAUUCGUGUCUCGUAUGGUUUAUGGUAACUUGGUAAGGCUCUAGUCCUAGUAUUGGUGCCUUUAAAUUUCAUAUCGUCAAUCUAAGCGAAAAGAUAAGAAGACGUCCAGACAACUGAGUGAGUUUUUCGUUAAUUUCGUUCGCAUUUACUUCAGUCUUCAGUUCGUUUCUAACUUCAUUCGACAAUCGACAUUCGACUUGUCAUUGUUUGCGAGGAAUCGGUCGCGUUGAGGAUUGCACGUUGUCAUCUCAAUCCGUUUCCGGAUACUUUUUCGUGAAAAUUUUCGUUUUUUUUCAAUUAUUAUAGUCGCGAUUUGGUCUAAUUAUUUUCGCGGAUCGUUAACGUGCAUUUUUUGGUGAUUUUUCGAACAAUUCGAUAUAGGAAUUUCGUGUAACCAGCGUGCAGUACCAUAUGCUGCAGUAGACAAAAGAUGGUUUGGUGCCGGUGAUGAGUUUACCACAUGGUCAUUAUUCAUAUUCUCCUGGGACAUCCGGUAAAUCAGUCGUGGUUGCAGAUUGUCACAUAGAAUUUCGUAUGUUUUUCGGAACUCAGAAUCAGAAAAAUGAAAGCAUCAAUUCUACAACGUGAGGCUCCAUUGGUAUUCAGAGAACAUCUAGCAAAGUGAUCUUGAUCUCUAAUUGUCAGCUCUCUUCGACGAAAACACGACCAAAAUAAGACAAAGAAAUAACGAAAAUUCGCCAACCCGGAAUUAACGAGCUUCGCGACAUAUCCUGAGAGGUUAGCAAUCGCUCGAGAGCAUCCCAUCCAACGCAUCUCCAGAUAUGAGAAAAAGUUGUCAAAGUGUCGAUUUCACCUCCACCUCGCUUUUGCUCGCCAUCGUUCAUAAAUUAGAAAAUUUUUCCUUGAACGAAACCUACCUGGUUGCGAUAUCGCACUCGCACCUGGACACCUGCUAAAAAUGCUAACCAAAAAUCCACCUUCGUACGCCGAUACAGGCAUUGUUAUAAAUGCCUAUUUUGCUUUUUCACACCGUUUACAUGGCAAUCUUGUUUCAUUCUAUUUUUGUGAUUUUUCGAAGAACGGCGUGCCGCAGCGGGAUUCACAUACUCUUAUUGUACCUAUUCAUCGAGCUAUUCUCUCUGUAUUUUAUUUCGCUUCUUUUACUCGCGAUCCGUGGAGAGCGCAUUCCAAACAAUAUGCGUUAUGCUCGCAUGAAUAGCUCGUCAUUCUGCAACUCUCCGGUGAUUCUACUCUUUUUAUAAUACCUAUUUUUUUUUUUUUCGAAACAAUCCUUUUUAUUUUUCCUUAUGUAUAGAUAAUAAUAUGUUUCACUUCUUGUGUCCAGUGACAUAUUAGAUGCGGUUUUUGAAAUAAAGCAGCCACUUUUGGCUAAAGAUGCGGCUAAGACGAGGAUGUUUUUUUUUUCUAUGCAAUGUGGGUAUAUACGAAUGUUUCUCGAUUACAAAUUACUUUACUUAUAUGGCCGGAUAUUCUUAAUAC